This 433-nucleotide ribosomal RNA is filed under the name uncultured bacterium. RNAcentral describes it as "partial 16S ribosomal RNA". It matches the Rfam family "Bacterial small subunit ribosomal RNA", at positions 29 to 507 of the family's 1533-position model. The record is from RNAcentral.
AACGAACGCUGGCGGCAUGCCUAACACAUGCAAGUCGAACGAGACCUUCGGGUCUAGUGGCGCACGGGUGCGUAACGCGUGGGAAUUUGCCCUUGGGUUCGGAAUAACAGUUGGAAACGAAUGCUAAUACCGGUUGAUGACGUACGUCCAAAGAUGUAUCGCCCAAGGAUGGGCCCGCGUAGGAUUAGCUGGUUGGUGAUGUAAAGGCUAACCAAGGCCACGAUCCUUGACUGGUCGGAGAGGAUGGUCAGCCACGCUGGGGAUGCGACACGGACCAGAAUCCGACGGAGAACAGCAGUGGAGAGUAUUAGGCGAUGGACGAAGGCGUGGUCCCGCAGUGCGGCGUAAGAGAUGAAGGCCUUAGGGUUGUAAAGCUGUUUUACACGGGAUGUUAAUGACGGUACCGGGAAAAUAAGCUCCGGCUAACUCCGUG